AGCAGCCGCGGUAAUUCCAGCUCCAAUAGCGUAUAUUAAAGUUGUUGCAGUUAAAAAGCUCGUAGUUGAAUUUCGGGGUUAGUAGGUUGGUCAUGCCUCUGGUAUGUACUGGUCUCACUGAUUCCUCCUUCCUUAUGAACCGUAAUGCCAUUAAUUUGGUGUUGCGGGAAAUUUGGACUGUUACUUUGAAAAAAUUAGAGUGUUUAAAGCAAGCUAACGCUUGAAUACAUUAGCAUGGAAUAAUGAAAUAGGACGUUCGAUCUUAUUUUGUUGGUUUCUAGGAUUGACGUAAUGAUUAAUAGGGAUAGUUGGGGGCAUUAGUAUUCAAUUGUCAGAGGUGAAAUUCUUGGAUUUAUUGAAGACUAACUACUGCGAAAGCAUUUGCCAAGGAUGUUUUCAUUAAUCAAGAGCGAAAGUUAGGGGAUCGAAGACGAUCAGAUACCGUCGUAGUCUUAACCAUAAACUAUGCCGACUAGGGAUCGGAUGAUGUUAAUUUUUUAAUGACUCA
RNAcentral lists this ribosomal RNA (508 nucleotides) under uncultured Glomus. Its description in RNAcentral is "SSU rRNA". It matches the Rfam family "Eukaryotic small subunit ribosomal RNA", at positions 569 to 1078 of the family's 1831-position model. Lineage: Eukaryota; Fungi; Glomeromycota; Glomeromycetes; Glomerales; Glomeraceae. The record is from RNAcentral.